GGGGUUAGGAUCUGGGGUGUGGUGUCUGUGGGUUAAGGCAGGGUGAGUGUUGAGGAAUCCUCUAGGUGUUCCAGAGACCACAGCAGCAUCACACAACUCCAGCAGUCAGUCUAUCUGUGAGCUUGAACAACUAGUGUCUCUGAGAGGCAAUCUUUCUGAACAUGGCUCUGAAAAUGGCUGCUAUGUGCCUUCUUCUCCAGCUCGUGCCACUAGGUUCUGGGGUGAAUCAGCCCCCCGACGUGCUCGUGGCUGAGGGCCUGAAUACGACCCUGCGCUGCUCCCAGAUCAGCACCUCCUACAACAGCAUGCUCUGGUACCUCCAGAGACACGGCCAGAAUCACCUCACUCUCAUAGUCCACGCAUACGUCAACAUGGUGACCAUGAGUGAGGGGUUGGAGGUCAGAUACUCGGCCACGCGACGCGGGACUGCACUGGAUCUCACCGUGACAACCGCCAACAGCUCAGACAAUGGGGUCUACUUCUGUGUCAAACAGGAAGCACAGUGGUAG
This is a non-coding RNA of Osmerus eperlanus (European smelt), 509 nucleotides long. NCBI's taxonomy places the organism in Eukaryota, Metazoa, Chordata, Actinopteri, Osmeriformes, Osmeridae. The record is from the annotation of a RefSeq genome assembly.